Molecule: long non-coding RNA, 1797 nt
Filed under: Gallus gallus (chicken)
Lineage: Eukaryota; Metazoa; Chordata; Aves; Galliformes; Phasianidae
Description: lncRNA (ENSGALG00010016509.1)
Source: RNAcentral
CUCGCUCUGCAGCUCCUUCACAAGCUCCUGGAAAUGGGAAAGCGCCCCGGGGCUGAAUGAAGCUCUUUGACGUCACGAGUGCCCAUUAAGGGUUUAUGGGCCGAGAAGCGGAGCAAAGGGUGCCUCGAGGAGGGCUGGCAGCAGCCCCGUGUUCCGGUGUCUCCUCCUGUCCCGCUGCUGCGGGUGUCCCACGGUGCACGCAGGACGUGGGAGGUGCCCGGGGCCGCCUCUCUGCAGAACCUUAAAGCCCGGCGCGGCGCCGGGCGGGCAGGGUGCUGGCAGCAUGCAGGCGGGUGGUUGGCUCCUGCUGGGGCUGCUGGCCCUCGGUGCACCGCUGCACGCAGCGCCCGCUGCAGGACGGUGUAGCCCAGGGCUGCACGGAGCAGCAACCAUCCUCCCUGUGACCCAACCGCAGGCGGUGGUGCCAGCAGAUGCCCGGUGCCGGCAGCGGAACGGCACCCAGAGCCCAUCUGUGCAGCAGCAGCUGGGGGCAGAGCGGGGCGGUGCGGAGCAGCACCUGCAUGGGGAGCGGCCGGCGGUGAGACCUGUGCCCGAGAAUGGAGCGGGGAGCAGGGAGAAGCCUCCAGCGGGCAGCACGCCUGCACUGAGGGAAAAGCAGGAGAUCGCAAAGAAACCCAGCGUGGGGAAGAAGCCAGAGUGUGAGGGGAAGGAUGGGAAUGGGGAAAAGCCAAAGAUAACGCCAGGAGCAAUGGCAAAACCAGAGGGUGGGGGGAAAGUGGAGAGUGGAGGGAAAACUGAGAGUGGGAAAAAGCCAGGGACUGGGGGGAAGCCAACGGGUGGAGAGAAACCCGUGCUGGGGAAAAAGCCAGAGGUGGGGGGAAAGCCGGAGGCUGGGGGGAAACAGGAGAGUGGGGAGAAGCUCAAGUUGGGAGAGAAACUAAAGCCCGAGCAUGGAGAUGGUGAGGUGGGUGAUGACAUUGAUGACGAUGAUGACGAUGACAGUGAUGACGAUGGUGAUGAGAAAAAAGGGUAUGAGGAUGAUAUGGCUGAUGACCAUGAUUAUUACUAUGGCUACAAUGACGACGAGGGCUAUGAUGAUGACGAUAAUGGUGACGGUAACAAUGGCAGUGAUGACAACGGUGGAAAUGGGAAUGACUAUGGAGAUGCCGAUGGAUACGGUGACGGUGAUGACUGAAGAUUACAGUGGUGGAGAUGGCAGCGAUGCUGGCGCGAUGAUGCUUGGUGACCAGCACUGUGGGGCGUGUGCAGGGCACAAGGUGCAAUGACAGCCCAUGGCAGGUGGGCACACGGAGCUGCCCCCAGCCUCCCCUCGCCUCACUCUGCCAGGGCCAGUCCUGGACACCAGCGCUGUUUUGGGCAGGACCUUCUAUUUCCUAAUAAAUCCCACAGUGGGCCACUUGCUCAACACAACAAGCUGUCCCUUGUCACAGUGCCUGGCAUCUCCAAGCCAUCUGGGAGCUUGCAUGGAUGUACCGUUCCCAGCUUCUUCCACAGACCCAGAGAUGCCCCUGACACGUCAUAGCCUGGAGGAGCAGCCUGGCGUGAGGCUGCAGGCAGGAUGUGUGUGCUGACCCCAGGACCAACUGUCUGCCAUGGCACUUCCCUCCCACGGGGAUUGGGGGUCCAACAAGGGUUCAGCAGGAGACUGACACCACGGGAACCAGCAGAGCUCAUUGCAGAUGGGAUUUAAUAGCAAGGAAGAAGCACAGAGACCCCCGUGCCCAGUUCUGAGCUGAGCGCUGAGGAGUGGAUUUGGGAUGGGGGAUGAUGGGUUCUCGCUCUGCAGUCGAUGGAUGAGUCCAUGUCCGGCUGCCC